This is a non-coding RNA of Oncorhynchus mykiss (rainbow trout), 1634 nucleotides long. NCBI's taxonomy places the organism in Eukaryota, Metazoa, Chordata, Actinopteri, Salmoniformes, Salmonidae. The record is from RefSeq and is a predicted model, not a curated record.
UUAUUGAAACGGUUCCUCAGGCUACUAUGCCUGGUGCUCCCCAUGCUGCUGGUCUCCUUGGACACGAAGGCAUCAGGGUGACAGAGGCUUGCCCUGAGGCAGCACAGUUCACACAGCACAGUUCUUCACAGUUCACACAAGCCCCUGGUAACAUGUCUCCACCCUGAGGUAGAUGGUGGUAAUUGCUUAUGGGAGUGAAGUGUUCAUUUAAUUUGACCAUGUAGUAAUGCAGUACAACAACAAGACAGAUAUGAUAUGAUUUAAAAACAUUUAUUUAUACAUAAAAUGUACUGUGGCCAUCAAAAAAAUGAAUAAAACUCUACAGUUUUGUACAAUACAUACACUAUAUAUACAAAAGUAUGUGGACACGACUUCAAAUUAGUGGAUUUGGCUAUUUCAGCCACACCCGUUACUGACAGGUGUAUAAAAUCAAGCACACAGCCAUGCAAUCUCCCUAGACAAACAUUGACAGUAGCAUGGCCUUACUGAAGAGCUCAGUGACUUUCAACGUGGCACCGUCAUAGGAUGCCACCUUUCCAACAAGUCAGUUCACCAAAUUUUUACCCUGCUAGAGCUGCCCCGGUCAACUAUAAGUGCUGUUAUUGUGAAGUGGAAAUAUCUAAGAGCAACAACGGCUCAGCAGCUAAGUGGUAGGCCACACAAGCCACUACAGAAUAGGACCGCCGAGUGUUGAAGUGCGUAGCUUUUAAAAAUCGUCUGUCCUUGGUUGCAAUACCUCACUACGAGUUCCAAACUGCCUCUGAAAGCAAUGUCAGCACAAUAACUGUUUAUCGGGAGCUUCAUGAAAUGGAUUUCCAUGGCCGAGCAGCUGCACAAAAGCCUAAGAUCACCACGCGCAAUGCCAAGCGUCGGCAUUGCUAGUAGGUGUCCACAUACUUUUGGUCAUGUAGUGUAUGUCUUUGUAUAUAUGUAUAAAUCUUAUUGUAUUCUCAAGAAUAUCUAAAAACAAAAAUAGAUUUUUAAAUCUCAGUUCUAGUAAAGCACUGAAAAAGUGCACACAGCAUAUAGACCUCAAUGACAGAAACAAGUCAUCUGUUUUGAGGCUCAAACAGUGAAACAAAAUAAAGCUUCUAUAAUGCUUCUUUUAUAAGAAAUCUUGAACAACUCUUUAAAGUUUUUUUUGUAAUGCAUAACAUAAAAUGAACUUUAGCAGUAUGUGCCAGGUCCUGAUCUGAUGACAAGACAAAAAAAAUGAACAAAACUAAUAACAGAGAAAACCGUUAGCCUGUAUCAAAGCUGUAUCAUGGUUGUAUUAUGGCUGUAUCAAGGCUGUAUCUUCAUAGUUGUAUCAAGACUGUAUCUAGGCUGUAUCAAGGCUGUAUCAUGGUUGUAUCAAGGCUGUAUCUUCAUAGUUGUAUCAUGGUGGUAUCAAGGCUGUAUCUUCAUAGUUGUAUCAUGGUGGUAUCAAGGCUGCAUCAAGGCUGUAUCUUCAUAGUUGUAUCAUGGUGGUAUCAAGGCUGCAUCAAGGCUGUAUCUUCAUAGUUGUAUCAAGGCUGUUUCUUCAUAGUUUCUUCAUGGCUGUAUCAUGCUUGUAUCUAGGCUGUAACAAGGCUGUAUCUUCAUAGUUGUAUCAUGGUUGUGCCAAUGAGAUAUAUUUUCUACUACCCUGUUUU